AAGUCGUAACAAGGUCUCCGUAGGUGAACCUGCGGAGGGAUCAUUACCGAGUGAGGGCCCUCGCGCCUGACCUCCAACCCUCUGUGAAUGACUACAGUUGCCUCGGGGGCGACCCGGCCUUUGCGUCGGGGCCCCCGCCUGGAGCCUCAAUCAAUCUCUGCGUCUCUGCGUCUGAGUCUAAAGCAAAUCAGUCAAAA
This 197-nucleotide unclassified non-coding RNA is filed under the name plant metagenome. RNAcentral describes it as "partial contains small subunit ribosomal RNA and internal transcribed spacer 1". The stretch from base 1 to 46 matches the Rfam family "Eukaryotic small subunit ribosomal RNA", at positions 1786 to 1831 of the family's 1831-position model. The record is from RNAcentral.